This 776-nucleotide ribosomal RNA is filed under the name uncultured Neocallimastigales. Its description in RNAcentral is "partial large subunit ribosomal RNA". It matches the Rfam family "Eukaryotic large subunit ribosomal RNA", at positions 24 to 645 of the family's 3401-position model. Lineage: Eukaryota; Fungi; Neocallimastigomycota; Neocallimastigomycetes; Neocallimastigales. The record is from RNAcentral.
GUAGUCUCGCACAGAUGCAUAUCAAUAAGCGGAGGAAAAGAAACUAACAAGGAUUCCCUUAGGUAACGGCGAGUGAAGCGGGAAGAGCUCAAAUUUGAAAUCUUAAAGGUUUUCCCUUGACGAAUUGUAGUUUAAAGAAGUGUUUUCUGUUGAGGUUUUGGUAAAAGUUCUUUGGAAUAGGACAUCAUAGAGGGUGAGAAUCCCGUAUUUGACCUUUACUUUCAACUUUGUGAUACACUUUCAAAGAGUCGGAUUGUUUGGGAAUGCAGUCCAAAAUGGGUGGUAAAUUUCAUCUAAAGCUAAAUAUUGGCGAGAGACCGAUAGCGAACAAGUACCGUGAGGGAAAGAUGAAAAGAACUUUGAAAAGUGAGUUAAACAGUACGUGAAAUUGUCAAAAGGGAAGCGUUUGACACCAGUGUUGUUUUCAUCGAAAAUCAAUUAAAAAGAGUUAGAUUUUGUUGUGUAUUGACCUUAACAGCUUGCAUUUCAAUUUUCUUGCUUUUUUUAAUGCACUUUUCGUUUAACAAGUCAACAUCAGUUUCUUUUGUUGUAAAAAGGUCAUUGGAAGGUGGCUUUCUUUUCGGAGAAAGUGUUUAUAGCCUUUGACUCCUGCAAUCGGAGAGACUGAGGUCUGCAGCGUAGAUCCUUCGGGGUUAGAUACAUUUGUGCUAAGUUAUAGCAUUUUUAUAGACAACUUGUUGACUAUGAUUAGUCUUGUAGCUUACUCGCUUAUGCUAUUUUACCUACGCUUAGGAUGUUGAUGUGAUACUGCGAGC